RNAcentral lists this ribosomal RNA (2892 nucleotides) under Escherichia coli. RNAcentral's name for it is "bacterial LSU rRNA". It matches the Rfam family "Bacterial large subunit ribosomal RNA". Lineage: Bacteria; Pseudomonadati; Pseudomonadota; Gammaproteobacteria; Enterobacterales; Enterobacteriaceae. The record is from RNAcentral.
ACUAAGCGUACACGGUGGAUGCCCUGGCAGUCAGAGGCGAUGAAGGACGUGCUAAUCUGCGAUAAGCGUCGGUAAGGUGAUAUGAACCGUUAUAACCGGCGAUUUCCGAAUGGGGAAACCCAGUGUGAUUCGUCACACUAUCAUUAACUGAAUCCAUAGGUUAAUGAGGCGAACCGGGGGAACUGAAACAUCUAAGUACCCCGAGGAAAAGAAAUCAACCGAGAUUCCCCCAGUAGCGGCGAGCGAACGGGGAGCAGCCCAGAGCCUGAAUCAGUGUGUGUGUUAGUGGAAGCGUCUGGAAAGGCGUGCGAUACAGGGUGACAGCCCCGUACACAAAAAUGCACAUGCUGUGAGCUCGAUGAGUAGGGCGGGACACGUGGUAUCCUGUCUGAAUAUGGGGGGACCAUCCUCCAAGGCUAAAUACUCCUGACUGACCGAUAGUGAACCAGUACCGUGAGGGAAAGGCGAAAAGAACCCCGGCGAGGGGAGUGAAAAAGAACCUGAAACCGUGUACGUACAAGCAGUGGGAGCACGCUUAGGCGUGUGACUGCGUACCUUUUGUAUAAUGGGUCAGCGACUUAUAUUCUGUAGCAAGGUUAACCGAAUAGGGGAGCCGAAGGGAAACCGAGUCUUAACUGGGCGUUAAGUUGCAGGGUAUAGACCCGAAACCCGGUGAUCUAGCCAUGGGCAGGUUGAAGGUUGGGUAACACUAACUGGAGGACCGAACCGACUAAUGUUGAAAAAUUAGCGGAUGACUUGUGGCUGGGGGUGAAAGGCCAAUCAAACCGGGAGAUAGCUGGUUCUCCCCGAAAGCUAUUUAGGUAGCGCCUCGUGAAUUCAUCUCCGGGGGUAGAGCACUGUUUCGGCAAGGGGGUCAUCCCGACUUACCAACCCGAUGCAAACUGCGAAUACCGGAGAAUGUUAUCACGGGAGACACACGGCGGGUGCUAACGUCCGUCGUGAAGAGGGAAACAACCCAGACCGCCAGCUAAGGUCCCAAAGUCAUGGUUAAGUGGGAAACGAUGUGGGAAGGCCCAGACAGCCAGGAUGUUGGCUUAGAAGCAGCCAUCAUUUAAAGAAAGCGUAAUAGCUCACUGGUCGAGUCGGCCUGCGCGGAAGAUGUAACGGGGCUAAACCAUGCACCGAAGCUGCGGCAGCGACGCUGAUGCGUUGUUGGGUAGGGGAGCGUUCUGUAAGCCUGCGAAGGUGUGCUGUGAGGCAUGCUGGAGGUAUCAGAAGUGCGAAUGCUGACAUAAGUAACGAUAAAGCGGGUGAAAAGCCCGCUCGCCGGAAGACCAAGGGUUCCUGUCCAACGUUAAUCGGGGCAGGGUGAGUCGACCCCUAAGGCGAGGCCGAAAGGCGUAGUCGAUGGGAAACAGGUUAAUAUUCCUGUACUUGGUGUUACUGCGAAGGGGGACGGAGAAGGCUAUGUUGGCCGGGCGACGGUUGUCCCGGUUUAAGCGUGUAGGCUGGUUUUCCAGGCAAAUCCGGAAAAUCAAGGCUGAGGCGUGAUGACGAGGCACUACGGUGCUGAAGCAACAAAUGCCCUGCUUCCAGGAAAAGCCUCUAAGCAUCAGGUAACAUCAAAUCGUACCCCAAACCGACACAGGUGGUCAGGUAGAGAAUACCAAGGCGCUUGAGAGAACUCGGGUGAAGGAACUAGGCAAAAUGGUGCCGUAACUUCGGGAGAAGGCACGCUGAUAUGUAGGUGAAGCGACUUGCUCGUGGAGCUGAAAUCAGUCGAAGAUACCAGCUGGCUGCAACUGUUUAUUAAAAACACAGCACUGUGCAAACACGAAAGUGGACGUAUACGGUGUGACGCCUGCCCGGUGCCGGAAGGUUAAUUGAUGGGGUCAGCGCAAGCGAAGCUCUUGAUCGAAGCCCCGGUAAACGGCGGCCGUAACUAUAACGGUCCUAAGGUAGCGAAAUUCCUUGUCGGGUAAGUUCCGACCUGCACGAAUGGCGUAAUGAUGGCCAGGCUGUCUCCACCCGAGACUCAGUGAAAUUGAACUCGCUGUGAAGAUGCAGUGUACCCGCGGCAAGACGGAAAGACCCCGUGAACCUUUACUAUAGCUUGACACUGAACAUUGAGCCUUGAUGUGUAGGAUAGGUGGGAGGCUUUGAAGUGUGGACGCCAGUCUGCAUGGAGCCGACCUUGAAAUACCACCCUUUAAUGUUUGAUGUUCUAACGUGGACCCGUGAUCCGGGUUGCGGACAGUGUCUGGUGGGUAGUUUGACUGGGGCGGUCUCCUCCUAAAGAGUAACGGAGGAGCACGAAGGUUGGCUAAUCCUGGUCGGACAUCAGGAGGUUAGUGCAAUGGCAUAAGCCAGCUUGACUGCGAGCGUGACGGCGCGAGCAGGUGCGAAAGCAGGUCAUAGUGAUCCGGUGGUUCUGAAUGGAAGGGCCAUCGCUCAACGGAUAAAAGGUACUCCGGGGAUAACAGGCUGAUACCGCCCAAGAGUUCAUAUCGACGGCGGUGUUUGGCACCUCGAUGUCGGCUCAUCACAUCCUGGGGCUGAAGUAGGUCCCAAGGGUAUGGCUGUUCGCCAUUUAAAGUGGUACGCGAGCUGGGUUUAGAACGUCGUGAGACAGUUCGGUCCCUAUCUGCCGUGGGCGCUGGAGAACUGAGGGGGGCUGCUCCUAGUACGAGAGGACCGGAGUGGACGCAUCACUGGUGUUCGGGUUGUCAUGCCAAUGGCACUGCCCGGUAGCUAAAUGCGGAAGAGAUAAGUGCUGAAAGCAUCUAAGCACGAAACUUGCCCCGAGAUGAGUUCUCCCUGACUCCUUGAGAGUCCUGAAGGAACGUUGAAGACGACGACGUUGAUAGGCCGGGUGUGUAAGCGCAGCGAUGCGUUGAGCUAACCGGUACUAAUGAACCGUGAGGCUUAACC